Small RNA from Cronobacter sakazakii ATCC BAA-894, 217 nucleotides. It matches the Rfam family "Enterobacterial sRNA STnc180". The record is from Rfam. NCBI's taxonomy places the organism in Bacteria, Pseudomonadati, Pseudomonadota, Gammaproteobacteria, Enterobacterales, Enterobacteriaceae.
GAAAAUUACACACAGCAAUCUUUACAUUUCUGGCAAGCGCCAGAGCGAUCAAUGGUUUUAAUUAUUGGUGUAACAGGUAUGAAUAAUCAGCUCACGCUCAAAUACUGGUCAUGGAUUGGCGCAUUUACCGUUUCCUCCUUGUUCUGGUGUCAGCUUGUCUGGAUGCUUGCUCACUGAUUCCUCUGCGCCUGGCUCCCCGCCAGGCGUUUUGUUUUCU